AGUGUAUGUCAGUUCAACCAGAGUGGUCGCCAAUUGAUAGAUCUGUCAGAAUCCUUGAUUAUAUUCUAUUCAAGCAUAUUUUCAUGGUGAAAGUUUUCUUCGUAAAUUUGUUAGUUGUGUUUCUUUUAAUGUUCUAAACGACUGUCGUUUGUCAUUUGUUUUCAAAUCAAUAAUUAUGUUUGUGAAGCAGACGAUAUGUUUUCAUUUCUAAGAAACUUGGUGUAGACGUCUGUGUUUUCCUAAUUUGGAAAUGGAAAGGUAUUGCUCAAACUUGGUGAUCAGCUCUAAACAAGUUUUCACAUUUAAGACUGUUUGACUGAAAAGAUGUUAUUCACUGGAGGAGCUGGGUAUAUCGGAAGCCCCUUUGUGGUUCUUGGAAUCCGGCUAUGUGGUUAUUUCUUGCAAGAAGUUUGCCCACUCUAAUAAUGGAAAAAAGGCUCAGUGACUGCCACUGCUCAGUUUCAUCAAUGUGUUCUAUAUAAUAUAGUUAUAUUUAUUAUUUAAUAUCUAGGCGAAGAAGUUAAAUUUCAUAAACAGCUAAGAAACACCCAAUUGAUAAUUCUUCGAGCAAAGAUUCAUCAAGUAGUUCAUUCAGGGCUGAGAAAGAGAAGGCAAAGUUGCAGCAGAUGCUGUUAAUUAUCACAAUUAAAAUAUUGAUGACAGUUCAACACAGUUCAUUUCAGAAAUGACUUAAGUCGAAUUCAAGAACUUAAUAAAGGAACUUAUGACAUGGCAUUUAUUAAAAACCAUGCAAAGAAUAAUGUUGCGUCCCUCACAUAUUUUCCAGGCUAAGAAAGAGAAGUCAAAGUUCCAGCAGGAGCUGUUUCAUGCUCAUCAUUAAGUUGAGUCAGCCAACAAAGAUAAGGCAAGAUGAAACGUACACCAAGCCGCCACUCGCUAAAUAAUUUUGAUCCAAAGUUUCAAUUUAAAUUUCCGCUUCGAUUUGACCAUUUCAACCAUUUUGAACUUUCCGCUCAAUCGCACGUCUCGCUAUAGCUGACGUGUUGCAGUGGAGAAAUUGGCAGCAACUGAUGCCGUUCCACAACUCGUCCCUUUUCGGCUUUUCCACAUUGGAUAUUAAACAAAAGAAUGUGAACUGCUGCUGUUUCCAGCUAUUGUAAACCAUCCGCAGUUAUCCGGGGCAGGCGGAAGGAAUUUCGUGAGAAAGUGCUGGAAUGGAGUCGUAUAACUAAAAAGGCAAACGUCUAGCGAUCAGUUCGAUGGAUGUGAACGAUGUGAGAAUGCGACGUCCAACUCUGCACCUGUUUACAUUACACAAAAAAGCAAGUGAAGAGCAGAUGAACAGGUCUGAUUUGAGCGUCGAUUUUUGUAAUGAUGCGGUCAACAUGUUCGGUUACGGCUGUCAGUGGUGCACAUCAACCGGAUGGUCUCAGGAUUCCAUAUGCCGUGCAGACUCAAUUUUAUAUUCGCUCCAUCUGUCGUUUCUCGACUGGUCGAAAUUGACGACACAAUUAGAUAUGAUUUUGUUUUACUUUCCCUUUUCUUAAAGAACUUGUUCCUAAAGCGACAGCAGACGACAAGAUUCGCUAACCACACGCAGAUUUUUAUGAUUAUUCUUUCCUUAAUUAAAUUUUGCAUUCUUUUGUGCCUCUGUUUGACAUUUUCCAUUCUAUUGUUAUUCAUAACAGGCAACUUCCGUCUGAUUCUGUUGCUAGGAGACCACGUCGAGAUAUAUGGGCGAGUCUCUUUAUUGAUAAGCGACAGCUAUGGACGAUGAUGAGGAUCAGCUCGACGAGCGAUAGGCGUUCCUACACUGGUAAAAAAGUAUGUAUACCGGCUUUGUAAUUAUAACUAUCACCUGCUAUGUAUUAGUUGUGCGCCACCAACUCGACUUCUUCGAAAUUUUGAACUUAUUUAACGAAUUUCACUGAUAGUAAAAUUGUUUGCUGAUUUCGUUUUACUAUCAUGUCACUCUCGAGAUGUUAUUGUAAAUGAAUGGAAAAUAAAGUAUCUGUCAUUAAAAAUGC
Molecule: long non-coding RNA, 1988 nt
Filed under: Daphnia pulex (common water flea)
Lineage: Eukaryota; Metazoa; Arthropoda; Branchiopoda; Diplostraca; Daphniidae
Description: uncharacterized LOC124202496
Source: RNAcentral